Molecule: long non-coding RNA, 268 nt
Filed under: Rattus norvegicus (Norway rat)
Lineage: Eukaryota; Metazoa; Chordata; Mammalia; Rodentia; Muridae
Description: long non-coding RNA NONRATT012420
Source: RNAcentral
GUGUAUUCUGGGAAGAGAGAAUGAAGUAUAUCAAGGGGAACUGAGAUGUCUUCCCACACCAGCUUUCCAUGACUGCAAAUACAUAGGAUAAUACGCUCACAAUGAAGGAAGAUGCGUGCUGGUACAUCCCUGGGACGUCAGGAGUGAAGGUCAGACUGAAUCAUCUUGGGUGGCAGCAUGAAGCCAGCUCAUUCCAGCAAGUAUUUCAUUUGCAUAAUGUCUUUGCUAACUCCCAGGGUGGCCAAAUAAAGGAAAGGUGAGCCCAGCA